Molecule: transfer RNA, 73 nt
Filed under: Ipomoea nil (Japanese morning glory)
Lineage: Eukaryota; Viridiplantae; Streptophyta; Magnoliopsida; Solanales; Convolvulaceae
Rfam family: tRNA
About the family: Transfer RNA (tRNA) molecules are approximately 80 nucleotides in length.
Source: Rfam by way of RNAcentral
GUUAUUGUGGUGUAGUGGUUAUCACGUCAGUCUUACACACUGAAGGUUUCCAGUUCAAUCUUGGACAUCAAUA